GAUGAACGCUGGCGGCGUGCCUAAUACAUGCAAGUCGAGCGAACGGACGAGAAGCUUGCUUCUCUGAUGUUAGCGGCGGACGGGUGAGUAACACGUGGAUAACCUACCUAUAAGACUGGGAUAACUUCGGGAAACCGUAGCUAAUACCGGAUAAUAUUUUGAACCGCAUGGUUCAAAAGUGAAAGACGGUCUUGCUGUCACUUAUAGAUGGAUCCGCGCUGCAUUAGCUAGUUGGUAAGGUAACGGCUUACCAAGGCAACGAUGCAUAGCCGACCUGAGAGGGGGAUUCGGCACAACGGAAACGGGAACCGGGCCCGAACCCCAAGGGAGGGCAGCGUGGGGAAUUUUUCCCAAUUGGGGAAAGCCUGAAGGAGCCAAGCCGGGUGAGGGAAGAAGGUUCUUGGAGUCGAAAACCUCUUUUUUUGGGAAAAAAAAAAUUGGAAAAAAACUGUGCAGUUUUGGGGGUACCAAAACAAAAAGGCCCGGGCAAAUUCGUG
This 497-nucleotide ribosomal RNA is filed under the name uncultured bacterium. RNAcentral describes it as "partial 16S ribosomal RNA". It matches the Rfam family "Bacterial small subunit ribosomal RNA", at positions 28 to 507 of the family's 1533-position model. The record is from RNAcentral.